GAAGAAGGCUGGCGGCGUGCUUAACACAUGCAAGUCGAACGGAAAGGCCCUGCUUUUGUGGGGUGCUCGAGUGGCGAACGGGUGAGUAACACGUGAGUAACCUGCCCUUGACUUUGGGAUAACUUCAGGAAACUGGGGCUAAUACCGGAUAGGAGCUCCUGCUGCAUGGUGGGGGUUGGAAAGUUUCGGCGGUUGGGGAUGGACUCGCGGCUUAUCAGCUUGUUGGUGGGGUAGUGGCUUACCAAGGCUUUGACGGGUAGCCGGCCUGAGAGGGUGACCGGCCACAUUGGGACUGAGAUACGGCCCAGACUCCUACGGGAGGCAGCAGUGGGGAAUAUUGCACAAUGGGCGGAAGCCUGAUGCAGCAACGCCGCGUGCGGGAUGACGGCCUUCGGGUUGUAAACCGCUUUCGCCUGUGACGAAGCGUGAGUGACGGUAAUGGGUAAAGAAGCACCGGCUAACUACGUG
This 468-nucleotide ribosomal RNA is filed under the name uncultured bacterium. RNAcentral's name for it is "partial 16S ribosomal RNA". It matches the Rfam family "Bacterial small subunit ribosomal RNA", at positions 28 to 507 of the family's 1533-position model. The record is from RNAcentral.